Poecilia latipinna (sailfin molly) is the source of this 666-nucleotide long non-coding RNA. RefSeq lists it as uncharacterized. The transcript is spliced from 3 exons. NCBI's taxonomy places the organism in Eukaryota, Metazoa, Chordata, Actinopteri, Cyprinodontiformes, Poeciliidae. The record is from RefSeq and is a predicted model, not a curated record.
GACAUGUUGACCGUAGUGAGCAGCAGAGCAGUAAAACGAUCUAAUCUCCAGGAUUAUUCCAGCUGUCCAGGCUUUCCUGAUUAUCUGUGGCUGCAAAAUGUUCCAGACAGCAGCAGGUGUUUCUGGUGAAAAGGUGUGCAGCCAGCCAAUGAAAACGGUCCAGAACCAAAACCGGUUCAGGACGGAGGAAUGUGUGACUGAACCAAACGACCUUCAGCCCUGCUGGCUAACCACAGAGGAAGGUCACAACCCUCCUCUUCAUCCCUCUUCACCUCCAUCACUCGGCAAAAGAAAUCUGAAGCCUGCUUCAGGACGUCCAGUCGUCUCUCCAGCAGUCGGAGAAGCAGCGACCAUCCCUCCCUCAGAGACGCCUUCAUCGCCUCGAGAGGCAGAGCGCCUCGAUCAGAGUGUGUGAGUCCUUGUGGACCUGAAGUUUCUCCAGCAGCUGCUGCUGCUCCUGGAUCAGGAUGUGGUUUUCCUCCCGGUCCGAUCCGAUCUCACAGAGUCCAGGCUGGAACUGGACCAGCUGGAGGUGGAUCAGAGAGCCGCUCUGCAAACACAAGCCAGAGACAUUUUAUUCAUGACUAGUGUCAACUUCUUCUUUAAUACUGACUAUUGGCUGGAAUAAUAAAAUCCCAAAAAAUAAAGACCAAACAAACAAAACAC